This 690-nucleotide long non-coding RNA is filed under the name Salvia miltiorrhiza (redroot sage). Its description in RNAcentral is "long non-coding RNA (SMIL_LNC002288)". The record is from RNAcentral. Lineage: Eukaryota; Viridiplantae; Streptophyta; Magnoliopsida; Lamiales; Lamiaceae.
UCAUCACUCAAUUAUGCAAUAUUACACCAUUUUCACUCCCAAUCUUCACAAGGGAAUUCACCCAGGAGAAAUCUGCAUUCAUCGCCCUGCUGCCAAAAUUUCAGAGGUAAGCUUGGUUCAAUUUCUUCACAUUUCUUCCAUAUGCAACCUGCAUUGACCAAAUUCAUUUCAGUUAUCUCCCUAGUUUAAACUACUCAAGUUCGGCAAAUAGUUUAUAAAUCAAACGAAGCAACUUCACGGUGAGUUUUAUACUUUAACUCUACCAUUUUCUGCCAAAGUCUCAUUCAUUCGUUAAAUAAUGAAAGCUUCAAUUCAUUUCAGCUAUUUCACACUUCACUAAACUCAAGCAACAACCAAGCAGUUGAAAACAAGUGAGGUAAUUCACUAUCUCAAUCAACCAUUCCAGAAAACAUUCAUAUCAAGCAUGAUUAUGGUUAGUUUCACAAUACCAGAAAACCGUAUAAUCAUCUUGAACUUAGCAAGCACCAACAACAUUCUAAUAUUCAAGUGACAGUUCCUAUGUAGUUCUAAUCAAACAUAAUUUGAGUUAUGCAAAACAAGAAGAUUUCACCUUGUCUAGUUCACGUUUUCGAAUCGAUAAAAAGUAGACGAGAGAACAUAGCUUUAGAGGGCUGCCCUGCUUAGUCCAGUUGAGAGACGACGUCUGGGCGGCCAUUCGCGAGCUUCUCG